Molecule: non-coding RNA, 123 nt
Organism: Picea glauca (white spruce)
Lineage: Eukaryota; Viridiplantae; Streptophyta; Pinopsida; Pinales; Pinaceae
Source: Rfam
AUGUACAUGCCUACAACAUAGCGUUAAUGCACCAGAUCCCCUUAGAACUCCGCAGUUAAGUGUGCUCUGGCUAGAGUAGUACUGGAAUGGGUGACCGCUCACGAAGUCCUAGUGUUUUACAUG